UACGGAGGAUGCGAGCGUUAUCCGGAUUUAUUGGGUUUAAAGGGUGCGUAGGCGGCCUGCCAAGUCAGCGGUAAAAUUGCGGGGCUCAACCCCGUACAGCCGUUGAAACUGCCGGGCUCGAGUGGGCGAGAAGUAUGCGGAAUGCGUGGUGUAGCGGUGAAAUGCAUAGAUAUCACGCAGAACCCCGAUUGCGAAGGCAGCAUACCGGCGCCCUACUGACGCUGGGGCACGAAAGUGCGGGGAUCAAACGGG
Molecule: ribosomal RNA, 252 nt
Filed under: uncultured bacterium
Lineage: Bacteria
Description: partial 16S ribosomal RNA
Rfam family: Bacterial small subunit ribosomal RNA
Source: RNAcentral